AAGCGUACGUAGGCGGUUUAUUAAGCAAGAUGUGAAAGCCCAGGGCUCAACCUUGGAACUGCAUUUUGAACUGAUAGGCUAGAGUACUGUAGAGGGUGGUGGAAUUUCCAGUGUAGCGGUGAAAUGCGUAGAGAUUGGAAGGAACAUCAGUGGCGAAGGCGGCCACCUGGACAGAUACUGACGCUGAGGUACGAAAGCGUGGGGAGCAAACAGGAUUAGAUACCCUGGUAGUCCACGCCGUAAACGAUGUCAACUAGCCGUUUGUGUCCUAGAGACGUGAGUGGCGCAGCUAACGCACUAAGUUGACCGCCUGGGGAGUACGGCCGCAAGGUUAAAACUCAAAUGAAUUGACGGGGGCCCGCACAAGCGGUGGAGCAUGUGGUUUAAUUCGAUGCAACGCGAAGAACC
RNAcentral lists this ribosomal RNA (408 nucleotides) under uncultured bacterium. Its description in RNAcentral is "bacterial SSU rRNA". It matches the Rfam family "Bacterial small subunit ribosomal RNA", at positions 563 to 970 of the family's 1533-position model. The record is from RNAcentral.